Equus asinus (donkey) is the source of this 2136-nucleotide long non-coding RNA. The record is from Ensembl. Lineage: Eukaryota; Metazoa; Chordata; Mammalia; Perissodactyla; Equidae.
AGGUACAAUUGGGCGGAAAAGGUAAUUGACCCUUAAAGCAAUUGCAGCUGAGUCCUCAACACAUCCAGAGCUGGUACAGCCUUCAGAGUUGUCCCUAGUUGAGGGAAGAAGAACCAGCUAUUUACGUCCCUCCAUCCGCAGUCUUAGUGGGGGACCAUCUUAUGAAGGGGUAAUCUUAGACAUGACAUCUUCUAUGGCUUAGAGCAGGGGUCUUGUUGGCCUCACUGUCUCUGUCACAACUACUUCAAUCUGCUGAUGUAGAGCAAAAGCAGCCAUAGACAAUAUGUAAACAAAGGGCAUAGCUGCGUUCCAACGAAACUUUAUGCGCUAAAACAGGUAGCCAACUCAUGGGCCAUAGUCUGCUAACCCAAGGCCUAGAGUUAUUCUCACUGAGAGGCACAGCUCUGAGACAUCAGCAGUUGAUAUUCCCGGAAGCUGGGGGAUGAGUUCUUAACCCUCAAUUGCAGGUUUGGGCAGAGCACCAUAGGUGCGCUGCAGUUCCCGCCUCGCACAUUUCGGAUCUACAUGCUUCUUAUGAUUAGGUUUGGCCAACUCUUAAUCAGAAGUUUGCUGUAAAUUAUGGCGGUUGAGGGCACCACGAGCUUUGAGGACAUGGGAGAUUAUUGCUGAGAAAGCUGAAAUUUUCAACAGAAAUUCCGGGAAGCCAGAAGUCUCUGGGUAAUCAUUAACAGAAAAGGUGCAUGGUGCCACAGCCAUGGUGUAGCAUAAACAAAAGUCGACAUAGAGAAAACAAUGAUUUGAACACAAAACAUGGACUCUGGAAUUUAUAUGAAAAGUCAGAGAAGAAAGAAGAAAGAAAAGAAUGCUAUUCCAAUGUGACUUGAAGGAAAGUUAAAAGAAGUAUGAACUUGAUGAUAAAACCAGUGGCUGAAUUAGUAACUGCUUGAGCUGUACUCCUAAGAGAUUUAUGAAUAAAUGGAUGUCAACCAUUAGGACAGGAGUGGUGUGGCAAGGCUGCUGUCUGCAGACACUGGUGAAAAGUUACUGAAGAGUUAACACACGACAGUCAAGGCUGGAAGAGAUCUCAACGGAUGAAAGAAUAGAUUGAAAGCAAUGAGAUAAAAUCCUAUAGGAAUAAUUGUAAAGUCUGGUGACUUGGUUCAAAAUAUUUAUUGUGUAAGUGUAGGAUAGAAAAGAAAUGUUCCACAUUGUCAUACUUAGUGGCUUCAUUGAGCGAUUUAAUAUUUGUCAACAGUGAGUUAUUAUGCUAGAAAGGACAAUGCAAUCAUAGGCUGCACUAAUAGAAGUAGAGUGUCUAAAACAAGGAAGGGAAUUAUCCCAGGAGAUCAGAGAACAGUGGCACUGAGUGCACUAGUAACAUUACAUGGGGAACAUCAUAUUGCAAGACGUGGCAGAUAAAUAUGUGAAGAAAAUGGGAAUAUUUUGUCUGUAGAAAGAAAGUUAUUGGAGGUGCAUGAUGGCUGCCUUAGCUGUUUAACGGGAUCGUAUAUACAAGAUAGAUAAAAUUUAUUCUUCAUGACUCAGGCAUAUGGCUUCUGAAAGGAAGCCAAAGGGAAGCCACUUUUGGUCCAAAAGAAGGAACACAUUAAUUGGAACUCUUAAAAAAGUAAACCGGACGCUUUUCCAGGCAGUGAAUUCGCUUGCACCAAAAGCACCUAAGAAGAUACUGGAAAUUCAAGUUACAAUUAUAAAAGAGUCCUUCACUGAGUGACAGGCUGAUAACCUGUCAGCUAACCUCUUAGCUUCUUUCCAAGUGGUAACAUAUUUCAAGAACCAAAUUAAGACCGGGAAUUAGGCACCUUGUGAAUGAUGACUACAAAGCUAGUAAGGCAGCAUCUUUGCCAUAAUACAAGUUUUAUUGCCUACACAUUCCAUUGGAAUAGGCCUUUCUUGUCUGCUGUGGCAUCUGUAGACUAUUAUUCAUUAUCUACCAUGUAUUUUAACUAUAGGAUACUUAUUUGGGAAACAUUUUACGGAACUGAAUUCACAACAGAAAUCUUUGUUUCUGGAAUAAUUGAAACAUACAUCUAGGUGUUAUGAUGAUGAUUAAAUUGUGUUUCCUUCCAAGAUAUUAGUAUCUAUUAUUUCUCUUUAUUUGUAGCCCUGACAUUAUUUUACACCAUAAAAAUAUACCUUCAGGAUAGUAUUCAAAAA